UACGGGGGGGGCAAGCGUUGUUCGGAAUUACUGGGCGUAAAGGGUUCGUAGGUGGCCAACUAAGUCAGACGUGAAAUCCCUCAGCUUAACUGGGGAACUGCGUCUGAGACUGGAUGGCUUGAGUGCAGGAGAGGAACGCGGAAUUCCAGGUGUAGCGGUGGAAUGCGCAGAUAUCAGGAGGAACACCGGUGGCGAAGGCGGGUCUCUGGGCAGUAACUGACGCUGAGGAGCGAAAGCGUGGGGAGCGAACAGG
RNAcentral lists this ribosomal RNA (253 nucleotides) under uncultured bacterium. RNAcentral's name for it is "partial 16S ribosomal RNA". It matches the Rfam family "Bacterial small subunit ribosomal RNA", at positions 524 to 776 of the family's 1533-position model. The record is from RNAcentral.